ACAAGCCUGAGAAACGGCUAGUAGGACUACGGUCUGCAGCAGGCGCGAAACUUACACAAUGCUAGAUUAAAAUUAGCGAUGUAGUGAAGAAAAAUAACGAUGUACUUACAUUUAAACAUGUUAGUACAAUUGGAAUGAGACGACUUUAAAACAGUCAGUCGAGUAACAAAUGGAGGGCAAGUCUGGUGCCAGCAGCCGCGGUAAUUCCAGCUCCAUUAGCAUACAUUAAAAUUGUUGCGGUUAAAAAGCUCGUAGUUGAAUUUUAGGCAAGCUUUAUUGGGAUGCAUCCGUUAAGGUUCUAUAUACGCUUCGGCGUUAUUGCAACUGGUUGCAUUUUCCCUAUAGAAACUUGCUGUUUCGUCACUUAAUCGAGUGCGAAGCGGGCUGGUACAAAGCAUAACUUCGGUUUGCUUGUUUCAUCAUGUUUACCUUGAGAAAAUUAAAGUGGUCCCAGCAGGCAGUUGGGGGGGAAAAACCCCUUUAUGCUUGAAUAAUGUUGCAUGGAAUAAUAAAAUACGGCCUCCGUUCUAUUCUGUUGGUCUUAUAGAACAACAAACAAGUUGAUUAAAGCGACAAAAAGUUACCAACAAGUGUGGGUCAAAUAACUAGCUACUGGAUUGCAUUAUAUUCUGGUGCCAUCGGGUUAAACCAAUGAGCCGGGUAUAUGCAACAGCAUAACCAAGUGUUUGUUCCAUUCAAGCACUUGCUGGCCAACUAGCUUUCUAAUCAACUGAGGCAAUGGUUAAAAGAAAUAGUCGCGGCCGCAUCAGUACUGCAUCGUGAGAG
This 786-nucleotide ribosomal RNA is filed under the name Cecidophyes truncatis. Its description in RNAcentral is "partial 18S ribosomal RNA". It matches the Rfam family "Eukaryotic small subunit ribosomal RNA", at positions 389 to 910 of the family's 1831-position model. Lineage: Eukaryota; Metazoa; Arthropoda; Arachnida; Trombidiformes; Eriophyidae. The record is from RNAcentral.